Cannabis sativa is the source of this 792-nucleotide long non-coding RNA. RefSeq lists it as uncharacterized. The transcript has 3 exons. Lineage: Eukaryota; Viridiplantae; Streptophyta; Magnoliopsida; Rosales; Cannabaceae. The record is from RefSeq and is a predicted model, not a curated record.
UUGUCUAUCUAUUGUUUUAUUUGAAAACAGGUGAAUAAAUGGCUACAAUAUACACAACAAUUAAGGACAUCACUCCAACUACAGAAAGUUGGAAGAUUGAAAUGAGAGUGUUAGAAAAAUCUGGAAAGCGGACAAGCAAGAGUUCACCACUCAAAUAUCAAAAGCUUAUGUUAGCAGAUAAAAAGGGUAAUGAUGUUGAAGCAGUAAUAUUUGGCACUGAAAUUGAUGCUAUAGAAAACACUUUGAAAGUGUUCCACACUUACUACAUCAGCAACGCCUAUGUAAAAAAAAAACAGCCCCACCUUUCGAUAAAAAGCAAGACUACAAAUAUUCUUGGACAGUGAACUCAAGAACAGAAAUCGAAGAAAUCCAAACAGAAGACAACCAGGUAUCAGCACCAAACUAUGAUUUCAUUCCGUUUAGCAACCUGUAUACACCUAAAGAAUUCAGCAAACCAAUAGGGCUGUCUCUAUCGUCACGCGACACGAGUACCUUCAAAAUCAAUCCUCAACUCCCAGAGGCAGAAGCACUGAAGGAAUGGUAAUACUCAUAAAAUCAAAUACACAUACUAUUAUAGAUACACAUUUUACAAAAAAAAAUUAAAUUUUUGUAUACUAUAUUUAUAAUAAUACUUACUCUAUUUUAAGGGCGGAGAGUAACGAAACAGAAAUUAAAAACGCAAUAGCAAACUGCUUGACAUAUGAAUCUUCUCCAAAAUCUUUUGUUGGAUUACACGAAAUAGUGACUAACAUCCAAAUUUCAGAGUUGACGAAAAAUCUGCAACUCAAUGAG